UACGUAGGGUGCAAGCGUUAAUCGGAAUUACUGGGCGUAAAGCGUGCGCAGGCGGUGAUGUAAGACAGGUGUGAAAUCCCCGGGCUUAACCUGGGAACUGCAUUUGUGACUGCAUAGCUAGAGUACGGUAGAGGGGGAUGGAAUUCCGCGUGUAGCAGUGAAAUGCGUAGAUAUGCGGAGGAACACCGAUGGCGAAGGCAGUCCCCUGGACCUGUACUGACGCUCAUGCACGAAAGCGUGGGGAGCAAACAGG
This 253-nucleotide ribosomal RNA is filed under the name uncultured bacterium. RNAcentral's name for it is "partial 16S ribosomal RNA". It matches the Rfam family "Bacterial small subunit ribosomal RNA", at positions 524 to 776 of the family's 1533-position model. The record is from RNAcentral.